RNAcentral lists this ribosomal RNA (491 nucleotides) under uncultured bacterium. RNAcentral's name for it is "partial 16S ribosomal RNA". It matches the Rfam family "Bacterial small subunit ribosomal RNA", at positions 29 to 506 of the family's 1533-position model. The record is from RNAcentral.
AGUGAACGCUGGCGGUAGGCCUAACACAUGCAAGUCGAACGGCAGCACAGUAAGAGCUUGCUCUUACGGGUGGCGAGUGGCGGACGGGUGAGGAAUUCAUCGGAAUCUACUUUUUCGUGGGGGAUAACGUAGGGAAACUUACGCUAAUACCGCAUACGACCUACGGGUGAAAGCAGGGGAUCUUCGGACCUUGCGCGAUUGAAUGAGCCGAUGUCGGAUUAGCUAGUUGGCGGGGUAAAGGCCCACCAAGGCGACGAUCCGUAGCUGGUCUGAGAGGAUGAUCAGCCACACUGGAACUAAGACACGGUCCAGACUCCUACGGGAGGCAGCAGUGGGGAAUAUUGGACAAUGGGCGCAAGCCUGAUCCAGCCAUACCGCGUGGGUGAAGAAGGCCUUCGGGUUGUAAAGCCCUUUUGUUGGGAAAGAAAAGCAGCAGGUUAAUACCCCGCUGUUCUGACGGUACCCAAAGAAUAAGCACCGGCUAACUUCGU